GCUAGUGUGGCAUAGUGGUGUGAGGGCUGGAUAAUGACUCUAGAUGCCAGGGUUCAAUUCCCUGCUCAGCC
This is a non-coding RNA of Phrynosoma platyrhinos (Desert horned lizard), 71 nucleotides long. NCBI's taxonomy places the organism in Eukaryota, Metazoa, Chordata, Lepidosauria, Squamata, Phrynosomatidae. The record is from the annotation of a GenBank genome assembly.